UCCCAGGUAGCUCAGUGGUAGAGCGAUCGGCUGUUAACCGAUUGGUCGGAGGUUCGACCCCUCUCCUGGGAGCCA
This 75-nucleotide transfer RNA is filed under the name Candidatus Melainabacteria bacterium. RNAcentral's name for it is "tRNA-Asn". It matches the Rfam family "tRNA". From Rfam's summary of the family: Transfer RNA (tRNA) molecules are approximately 80 nucleotides in length. Their secondary structure includes four short double-helical elements and three loops (D, anti-codon, and T loops). Further hydrogen bonds mediate the characteristic L-shaped molecular structure. tRNAs have two regions of fundamental functional importance: the anti-codon, which is responsible for specific mRNA codon recognition, and the 3' end, to which the tRNAs corresponding amino acid is attached (by aminoacyl-tRNA synthetases). tRNAs cope with the degeneracy of the genetic code in two manners: having more than one tRNA (with a specific anti-codon) for a particular amino acid; and 'wobble' base-pairing, i.e. permitting non-standard base-pairing at the 3rd anti-codon position. Lineage: Bacteria; Bacillati; Candidatus Melainabacteria. The record is from RNAcentral.